Molecule: ribosomal RNA, 1363 nt
Filed under: Loxosomella sp. 1 JF-2010
Lineage: Eukaryota; Metazoa; Entoprocta; Loxosomatidae
Description: SSU rRNA
Rfam family: Eukaryotic small subunit ribosomal RNA
Source: RNAcentral
AGCAGGCGCGCAAAUUACCCACUCCUGGAACGGGGAGGUAGUGACGAAAAAUAACAAUACGGGACUCUUUCGAGGCCCCGUAAUUGGAAUGAGAACAUUUUAAAUCCCUUAACGAGGAUCUAUUGGAGGGCAAGUCUGGUGCCAGCAGCCGCGGUAAUUCCAGCUUCAAUAGCGUAUAUUAAAGUUGUUGCAGUUAAAAAGCUCGUAGUUGGAUCUCGGGCUCGGGCUGGCGGUCCUCUUAACGGUGGUACUGCUUGUCCCGACCUACCUCCCGGUAUUUUCUUGGUGCCCUUGGUUGGGUGUCUCGAGGAUCCGGAACGUUUACUUUGAAAAAAUUAGAGUGCUCAAAGCAGACAGUUGUCUGAAUAUCUCAGCAUGGAAUAAUGGAAUAGGACCUCGGUUUUAUUUUGUUGGUUUUGAAGACUCGAGGUAAUGAUUAAGAGGGACUGACGGGGCCAUUCGUAUUACGGCGUUAGAGGUGAAAUUCUUGGAUCGCCGUAAGACGAACUACUGCGAAAGCAUUUGGCAAGAAUGUUUUCAUUAAUCAAGAACGAAAGUCAGAGGUUCGAAGACGAUCAGAUACCGUCCUAGUUCUGACCAUAAACGAUGCCAUCUAGCGAUCCGCCGCUGUUGACUAUGGGACACGGCGGGCAGCUUCCGGGAAACCAAAGUUUUUGGGUUCCGGGGGGAGUAUGGUUGCAAAGCUGAAACUUAAAGGAAUUGACGGAAGGGCACCACCAGGAGUGGAGCCUGCGGCUUAAUUUGACUCAACACGGGGAAGCUCACCCGGCCCGGACACUGUGAGGAUUGACAGAUUGAGAGCUCUUUCUUGAUUCGGUGGGUAGUGGUGCAUGGCCGUUCUUAGUUGGUGGAGUGAUUUGUCUGGUUAAUUCCGAUAACGAACGAGACUCUGGCCUAUUAAAUAGUCUGCCGAUUUGCUUGGUCGGCAGUGACUUCUUAGAGGGACAAGUGGCGUUUAGCCACACGAGAUUGAGCAAUAACAGGUCUGUGAUGCCCUUAGAUGUUCGGGGCCGCACGCGCGCUACACUGAAGGGAUCAGCAUGUGUCUACCCUGUGCCGAAAGGUAUGGGUAACCCGUUGAACCCCCUUCGUGCUUGGGAUUGCGGUUUGCAAUUUUUUCGCAUGAACGAGGAAUUCCCAGUAAGCGUGGUUCAUUAGACCACGUUGAUUACGUCCCUGCCCUUUGUACACACCGCCCGUCGCUACUACCGAUUGAAUGGUUUAGUGAGAUAGUGGGAUUGGCUCCGGUGAGGUGGUUCGCUGCCCCGUCGGUGGUUGAGAAGACGCUCGAACUUGAUCAUUUAGAGGAAGUAAAAGUCGUAACAAGGUUUCUGUAGGUGAA